AAAAAAGACAGUCUCAGUUCGGAUUGAAGGCUGAAAUUCGCCUUCAUGAAGCCGGAAUUGCUAGUAAUGGCAGGUCAGCAUACUGCCGUGAAUACGUUCCCGGGCCUUGUACACACCGCCCGUCACACCAUGAGAGUUGGGAAUACCCGAAGCCUGUGAGCUAACUUUUAGAGGCAGCAGUCGAAGGUAGAAUCAAUGGUUGGGGUGAAGUCGUAACAAGGUAGC
Molecule: ribosomal RNA, 225 nt
Filed under: uncultured bacterium
Lineage: Bacteria
Description: partial 16S ribosomal RNA
Rfam family: Bacterial small subunit ribosomal RNA
Source: RNAcentral